This 497-nucleotide ribosomal RNA is filed under the name uncultured bacterium. RNAcentral's name for it is "partial 16S ribosomal RNA". It matches the Rfam family "Bacterial small subunit ribosomal RNA", at positions 28 to 507 of the family's 1533-position model. The record is from RNAcentral.
GAUGAACGCUGGCGGCGUGCCUAAUACAUGCAAGUCGAGCGAACAGAUGAGGAGCUUGCUCCUCUGACGUUAGCGGCGGACGGGUGAGUAACACGUGGAUAACCUACCUAUAAGACUGGGAUAACUUCGGGAAACCGGAGCUAAUACCGGAUAAUAUAUUGAACCGCAUGGUUCAAUAGUGAAAGACGGUUUUGCUGUCACUUAUAGAUGGAUCCGCGCCGCAUUAGCUAGUUGGUAAGGUAACGGCUUACCAAGGCGACGAUGCGUAGCCGACCUGAGAGGGUGAUCGGCCACACUGGAACUGAGACACGGUCCAGACUCCUACGGGAGGCAGCAGUAGGGAAUCUUCCGCAAUGGGUGAAAGCCUGACGGAGCAACGCCGCGUGAGUGAUGAAGGUCUUCGGAUCGUAAAACUCUGUUAUUAGGGAAGAACAAAUGUGUAAGUAACUAUGCACGUCUUGACGGUACCUAAUCAGAAAGCCACGGCUAACUACGUG